CCUUCGGGUUGUAAACCUCUUUUAGUAGGGAAGAAGCGAAAGUGACGGGACCUGCAAAAAAAGCACCGGCAAACUACGUGCCACCAGCCGCGGUAAUACGUAGGGUGCAAGCGUUGUCCGGAAUUAUUGGGCGUAAAGAGCUCGGAGGCGGUUUGUCGCGUCUGCUGUGAAAUCCCGAGCUCAACCUCGGGCUUGCAGUGGGUACGGGCAGACUAUAGUGCGGUAAGGGAGAUUGGAAUUCCUGGUGUAGCGGUGGAAUGCACAUAUAUCAGGAGGAACACCGAUGGCGAAGGCAUAUCUCUGGACCGURACUGACGCUGAGGA
Molecule: ribosomal RNA, 324 nt
Filed under: uncultured Actinomycetes bacterium
Lineage: Bacteria; Bacillati; Actinomycetota; Actinomycetes
Description: bacterial SSU rRNA
Rfam family: Bacterial small subunit ribosomal RNA
Source: RNAcentral